UUGGGCAAAAUACCUGCUGUGGCAGCCCUGUGCCUUGACUGCCUCCAGGAGAAAGUUUCUUGGGAAUGGUUGCUGAAACAAGAAGUGUGUCCAGCCUCCAGGGCUUGCCAGCAGCUAUUGACUGAUACGAGCACACUGUCCUCGGUGGCAGGAGGGAGCAACUUGCUUUAUCUAUGCAUUCCCUGGCAAGCAGCAGCAGUGGAGAAAGAGACAUGUCUCACUGGCCAGUGUCCAGUCCCUGGCAAGCCAAAUCAUUCUACAAGCUCUGAAACUGAAGAUAAAAAAUCAGCAAUGGAACAUUGCUGCUUGAGUCAGAGGUGUGAAGGAAUCAGCUCUCCACUCCAUGAUCCAUCCUCCAGCUCACAGCUGGUACAAAUGGGUGUGACUCAUUGCACAGCCAGAGGUUAUAAUGAAGUAUCCCACUCAUCCUUUAGCUCACCCUUUGUUCGAGACAAUGUGGAUUGCGGAAGGUUUCUGAGGAGCCAAAAGUUGGUGAAGGCUCCUGAGUGUCCCCGUUUGCCAUGCAGAGGUUCAGAGUUAGCAAUGCAGGCUGGCUGCCUACGUGCUCUCAGCUAGAGACUUUUAAAGAGCAGCAGCAGGAGUAAAACUGUGUGUUUCAGAAGCAUGCACUUUGAGAUGGACUUUACUCCAGAAGUUCAGAAGCCCAGACUUGGCACCCUCUGAUUUCUCCAGAAGAAGGCUGAGAGCUAGAUAUGGAUCAAUUCUUAUGCUGAACCUCCAAAUUCACAGCAAACCCAGAAGCUUUGAGAAGCUGUCAGUGACACGACCCCAGUUCUCUCUGCCCAUGUCUGAGGUGCCUCUUCUGGGAUGGGAGCAACUGAGUCUCACCAAUCUGUCAGCAACCAGGAGGAAGCCAGGAAACAAAUAAACAAUAAAAGUUGGUGCUGCA
Molecule: long non-coding RNA, 910 nt
Filed under: Parus major (Great Tit)
Lineage: Eukaryota; Metazoa; Chordata; Aves; Passeriformes; Paridae
Description: lncRNA (ENSPMJG00000019577.1)
Source: RNAcentral